Molecule: transfer RNA, 66 nt
Filed under: Ictidomys tridecemlineatus (thirteen-lined ground squirrel)
Lineage: Eukaryota; Metazoa; Chordata; Mammalia; Rodentia; Sciuridae
Description: Spermophilus tridecemlineatus (thirteen-lined ground squirrel) tRNA
Rfam family: tRNA
About the family: Transfer RNA (tRNA) molecules are approximately 80 nucleotides in length. Their secondary structure includes four short double-helical elements and three loops (D, anti-codon, and T loops).
Source: Rfam by way of RNAcentral
GGUGUAGCUUAGUGGUAGAGUAUGUGGUUAACAUUCAUAGGGUCCUGGGUUCUAUCCCAGGCACCA